AUGGGGAAGAGAAAGACUCAUAGCAACAUCAUCGUCAUUAGACACGUAGAUUUGGGUGAGUCCACCACUAUUGGGCAUCUGAUCUACAAAUGUGGCAAGAUCAACAAGAUUACCACUGGAAAAUUUGAGAAGGAGGAUGCUGAGAUGGGAAAGGGCUCCUUCAAGUAUGCCUGGGUCUUGAAUAAACUGAAAGCUGAGUGCGAGUAUGGUAUCACCAUUGAUCUCUCCCUGUGGAAGUUUGAGAUCAGCAAAUAUGACAUGACUCUUAUUGAUGCCCCAGGACACAGAGACUUUAUCAAAAACAUGAUUACAGGCACAUCUCAGGCUGACUGUGCUGUCCUGAUUGUUGCUGCUGGUGUUGGUGAAUUUGAAGCUGGUAUCUCAGGAAAUGGGCAGACUCAUGGGCAUGCCCUUCUGGCUUACACACUGGGUGUGAAACAACUAAUUGUUGGUGUUAACAAAAUGGAUUCCACUGAGCCGCCCUAACAGCCAGAAGAGAUACUAGGAAAUCAUUAAGGAAGUCAGCACUUACAUUAAGAAAAUUGGCUACAACCCCAACACAGUAGCACUUGUGCCAAUUUCUGGUUGGAAUGGUGACAACGUGUUGGAGCCAAGUGCUAACAUGCCUUGGUUCAAGGGAUGGAACGUCACCCGUAAAGAUGGCAAUGCCAGUGGAACCACACUGCUUGAAACUCUGGACUGCAUCCUGCCACUAGCUCAUCAAACUGACGAGCCCCCACCUCUGCCUUUCCAGGAUGUCUACAGAAUUGGUGGUAUUGGUUCUGUUUCUGUGGGCCAAGUGGUGGAAGAACGAUCUCAAAACUAUUUGUUUUAAUUGGCCAUUUAAGUUUUCAUAGUAAAAGAC
This is a non-coding RNA of Microcebus murinus (gray mouse lemur), 865 nucleotides long. The record is from RefSeq and is a predicted model, not a curated record. NCBI's taxonomy places the organism in Eukaryota, Metazoa, Chordata, Mammalia, Primates, Cheirogaleidae.